This 1947-nucleotide ribosomal RNA is filed under the name human gut metagenome. RNAcentral describes it as "bacterial LSU rRNA". It matches the Rfam family "Bacterial large subunit ribosomal RNA", at positions 1 to 1983 of the family's 2925-position model. The record is from RNAcentral.
UCAAGCAAUAAGGGCACAGGGCGGAUGCCUUGGCACUAAGAGCCGAUGAAAGACGUGAUAAGCUGCGAUAAGCUUCGGGGAGGAGCAAAUAUCCCGUGAUCCGGAGAUGUCUGAAUGGGGAAACCCACAUGAGCAAACCUCAUGUAUCCUACAGCCAAUACAUAACUGUAGGAAGGGAACCCGGGGAACUGAAACAUCUAAGUACCCGGAGGAAAAGAAAGAAAACUCGAUUCCGUAAGUAGCGGCGAGCGAACGCGGAGGAGCCUAAACCGGAAUGCGUGCAUUCCGGGGUUACGGACUGCAUUUAGGAUUCAGUGAUGUUAACAGAACGGUUUUGGGAAAGCCGGCCACAGAGGGUGAAAGCCCCGUACGUGAAAACAGAGCUGACUGAGCAGGAUCCAGAGUACCACGAGACACGUGGAACCUUGUGGGAAAUCAGGGGGACCACCCCCUAAGGCUAAAUACUACUUAGUGACCGAUAGCGCAUAGUACUGUGAAGGAAAGGUGAAAAGGACCCCGGGAGGGGAGUGAAAGAGAACCUGAAACCCUGUGUUUACAAGCUGUCGAAGCACUAUAUAUGUGCGACGGCGUACUUUUUGUAGAACGGUCCGGCGAGUUAUGGCAUGUGGUAAGGUUAAGUACUUCAGGUACGGAGCCGAAGCGAAAGCGAGUGUGAAAAGCACGUUUUAAUCGCCUGUCAUAUACCCGAAACCGGGUGAUCUAUCCAUGUCCAGGAUGAAGUUGCCGUAAAAGGCAAUGGAGGUCCGAACACACAUCCGUUGAAAAGGGUGGUGAUGAGGUGUGGAUAGGGGAGAAAUUCCAAUCGAACCCGGAGAUAGCUGGUUCUCCUCGAAAUAGCUUUAGGGCUAGCCUCGUUUUAGUCUUAUGGAGGUAGAGCACUGAAUUUCCGCGGGGGCGUCAAAGCUUACCAAAGAAUAUCAAACUCCGAAUGCCAUGUAGAUGAUGAAAGGGAGUCAGACUGCACGAGAUAAGUUGGGUGGUCAAAAGGGAAAGAGCCCAGACCUACAGCUAAGGUCCCAAAGUGCGUGUUAAGUGGAAAAGGAUGUGGGAUUUCGAAGACAACUAGGAUGUUGGCUCAGAAGCAGCCACACAUUAAAAGAGUGCGUAAUAGCUCACUAGUCGAGAGGUCCUGCGCCGAAAAUGUCCGGGGCUGAAACACGACACCGAAGCUUGGGAAUCCUACGGGAUUGGUAGAGGAGCAUUGAAGACGGGACGAAGCGUAACCGUAAGGAUACGUGGACUGUCUUGAAGAGAGAAUGCCGGAAUGAGUAGCGAGAAUGAAGUGAGAAUCUUCAUGGCCGAAUAUCUAAGGUUUCCAGGGUAAAGCUGAUCUGCCCUGGGUAAGUCGGGACCUAAGGCGAGGUCGAAAGACGUAGCCGAUGGACAACAGGUUGAAAUUCCUGUACUGCAUUAAAUCAGAACUGUGGGGACACAGAAGGAAGGCAUGAGCCGGAAAAGGAAAAUCCGGUGCAAGCAUGGGAGGGGUAUGACAGGCAAAACCGUCAUGCAACCCGAGAAUGUGACGCGGAGCGAACAAAAGUAGCGAAGCAUGCUUACCGGCUGUCGAGAAAAGCCGCUAUUGCGUUUAAUGCACCCGUACCGUAAACCGACACAGGUGGAUGAGGAGAGAAUCCUAAGGCCGGCGGGAGAAGCAUUGUUAAGGAACUCGGCAAAAUGACCCCGUAACUUCGGGAGAAGGGGUGCUCUUAGAAAUAAGAGCCGCAGAGAAUUGGCCCAAGCAACUGUUUAGCAAAAACACAGGUCUAUGCAAAACCGAAAGGUGAGGUAUAUGGGCUGACGCCUGCCCGGUGCUGGAAGGUUAAGAGGAGAGGUCAGAGCAAUCGAAGCCUUGAAUUUAAGCCCCAGUAAACGGCGGCCGUAACUAUAACGGUCCUAAGGUAGCGAAAUUCCUUGUCGGGUAAGUUC